Rattus norvegicus (Norway rat) is the source of this 3274-nucleotide non-coding RNA. Lineage: Eukaryota; Metazoa; Chordata; Mammalia; Rodentia; Muridae. The record is from RefSeq and is a predicted model, not a curated record.
UCUUUUCUCUAAACAGACCCAUUUCUUGUUACCAUAAUGAGUGGAUUACUUACUGUCCACACAUUAGAGGCUUUAAUUUUCUAUUGGCAAUGGUGCCAACGGGGUUAAGUAUCAAGUGUAUGGCUCCCUGUUCUCAGUCCUUUACUGUGCUGGGAUUAUUCAACUCCUGCCACUCAAUGUUUCAGCUGUCUCUCAGAGGGUCUGACACAAAAACCCUGUAUUAUCAGCCCAGACAUUAGGCUCUGGCACUGAUGGCUCUCCUGCCUGCACAGGUAAGAAUGUUUUGCUUAGCGCUGGAACUCUGUUGAUUUCUGUGCUCAACAGCCACAAAGGAAGUAGCCUAAACUUCCCCACAGUAAGACAGAAGGUGUCUCAGCUCUUGCUCUUGUGUUUAGAUAGAACAGUCCCCCAUCUUGUCCCAUCUGUGCAGGGUAGAAUAAAAUAGGAUCCAAACUUCUAUUCCCAACACCCGAGGGCACAGAGGCUUGCUUGUUCCAACAGUACUGUGUUACCACAAAUUCCUUUUACCAGCCUAACAGAACUCACGGACUCUUCCCUGACCAUGUCAAGUUCUAAGACCCACCGUGAAUUCUGCUUCUGCUGGGCACACCGAGAGUUUUAUCUGACCUACUUUACAAAACGUCCCUGUCACUUCUCCAGUGUCUCCUCUGAUGAUCCAAUGAUUCACUCCACACCCUUCGUAAGUCCUGCCUGUCAUUCCAGAGGCCUCUAAGACUCAGUUUCACUGCACAGCUCACAUGAUAGGCAGUGGUCCAAUGUAUUGCCAAUAGCACUCACUCUGCCCUAACUUAAAAUACACAGCCCAGCCUGCCAAGUUUCCUUAUUUGGCAAGAAGGUCCCUCAGUUCCCAAGAUCUUUGACCAUCCAUUUUUAGAUCUAAAUCUGUGUGCUUAAUAUUCGGUCGGUUAUUAUUUCCCUUAAUGUGUUCUUCUGUAUCCCCCUCUUCCCCUCAAGAAAAACUUUUAAAACAUCAGUUGCUUGCUUUCUUAGACAACAAAACGUUUCCCACUUAAACUUUUGACUUGCAUAGUUUAAAAAAAAAAGCAAUCCCCAAAAGUUUUUGUCGAAAUUAUAUUGUAAAAGACUAAAUAAACAGUGCUCGAAAAGACCCAUUUUUCUCUCUUAAUUCCCUCAUUCCAAACAAGCUAAAUUCAUGUUCAUUUGCAAUCUCCCAAAUCUCUGGCUAUUGUAGCAGAAAUCUAAAACAAAGACUCUAUGAACGACCAAAACCAUAAUUAAAAUGCAGCCGUCACUUUUUAAAAAAAAAUCAAAAAGGAAUGAAAUUUUCACAGUAGAGACAGGCCUAUGACAAAGAGGUCUGGUCUUGAAUCAUUUGUUUAUUUUUAUCGUUAAAUGUUUUGGAAGGUUUGGAUCCACUGAACAUUGGCAGUUGGUUUCAUCUACGGUCAAGAAGACCAGAAGAUUCGCUACAACCACUUCAAGGGCAGUUCCAUGUCAUCUGGGCAGUUUAGAAUUAAAGUUUUUUCCGAGAGCUGUCACACACGGGGCGAGGCGUGGCUGCGGCCCGGGUCACUCAGAGCCCAGCCGGGUAUGGAUCCCCGCGCCUGCGACACCCGCGUGUGCUCCCACGGAAGGCGAGGGUGCUCGGGAAGGGCAGCCAACGCAGGUUCCCGGCGGUCGCCGCGAGCUGUGCCAGGCCGAACUCUUCCGGGCACCGAGUGACCCGCGAGACCGGCCCGGACAUGCCCAAGCCGUCCUUGGCGCAGCGGCAGGGGGCUGAGGGCUAGGGGGCCGCAGGGCUCCAGGGCACCGGGGGGCGAGCCGAGGACAGCCUCCCGCCGAGCCUCGGCCUCCCACAGCCGCGCUGCCCCGGCCCCGCAGGCCUCGGUGCCGCCGGUCCUCCAGCGGAGUUCCCUCCCGCCUCCCGGGUCCCCCGCGGCCCUUACCUUGCUCCCGGGCCGGGCGCGAGCAGAGGCCGGGGUCGGGGACAGCGGCCCGCGCGGCUCCCACGCUUCCGCCGGAGUCAGGAGUUGAACAUUCCGCCUCUCCGCGCGGCGCCAAUGAGGAAGACGUCGCCGCAACAGCACCACCUACCUCCGAGCGCGGAACCGCCGGCCCGCCAGCCUCCCGGCACGCCCGGCCCUGUGCCCAGUGGGGAGGCCGGGGCUCGAAGUCUCAGAGCCCGGCUGCUGCAAGGCCCCCAACCCACAGCGGGACUGGAAGCACUUGGCUAGGAGCGGGACAGCAAGGAAGGCGAUGUCAGGGUUGUGGGGAGCCUCGGUGGGACUAUCAACAGGUACUUUGGAGAUUUUGAGGAGGAGUCAAGGCCUGCUGCUCUGGUUGGUGACUUUUAAGAUGAAGUGCCCGCGAGAAGACAGAGUCCAUUGCAAGAGUGGACAAAACAUGGCAUCUGGCUUCAGGAAGAAGAGAAAUUGAUUGGGCAAAAUGGAGCUGGAGAGGAAAGAGAGGAGUGGUUGCAAAAGUAAGGGAGACGUUUUCUGAAUUAGAAUUUAGUUGUUCACACACAUGGAGAAUUAAGGAAAGUUGAAAUCGUGCAAAAUGGCAAUUUGUGUUUUAGUGCAUGGCUUUACUUUGGAGCAGAAGGCUUACCAGCCUUAAGAUGUUGGGCCACAUUCUCUUUCCUCCCCAUCCAUUUUAGUAGUGAUUUAGAGAGUUGCCUAGGGAUGGUAACAAGAUAAAUGGUAGAUAUUGUCACUACCUGGUUACAGAUGGAUUUGUGAAGGCCAGAGUUAGAGGGUACAACAUGGGAUCUUUAAAAAAAAAAAAAAAAAAGGAAAUUGGAAUUGAGAGACACGUUUCAGAAAGAGGCCACAGAAAUUUGUGACCCAUUCGGUUGGGAAAGAAGAAAGCGGUGAUGCCAAGAUUUGAGACCUGGGUGACUGGAAGAAUGAUGGUGUCAUUGACAGAAAUAGAGAUCUGCGGAGAGGAAACUGGCUUCCUGCUGAGUUUUGAAGUCAGGAGAGGAAAAAACAGGCAGAGAUGAAACAAGAAACGGAAAUCAGAAAAGAGGCCAAAAGAGAAAUAGAAAUUUUGAACACUGUUCAUAUAUACUUAAUAUGUGAAUGUGAAAGGGUGGGUAGAUAUAAAUGAAUGAGAAAAGAAACCACUUUCUCGUCUGCGAUUAUAAGGACUGAGGUUCUGAGGUUAACAAGUUACAUUUCGGUAAUGGAGAAGACUGAUGGAAACUGUUCCGCUUAAAAAAAAAAAUUCUGUUGUAGGUGAUCAAACAAUUGUUAAAAAAAAAUAAAAAUAAAAAGAGCUGUCUCAAAAA